RNAcentral lists this ribosomal RNA (236 nucleotides) under Malacoplasma muris. RNAcentral describes it as "Mycoplasma muris partial 16S ribosomal RNA". It matches the Rfam family "Bacterial small subunit ribosomal RNA", at positions 234 to 466 of the family's 1533-position model. Lineage: Bacteria; Bacillati; Mycoplasmatota; Mycoplasmoidales; Mycoplasmoidaceae. The record is from RNAcentral.
CGGUGUAUUAGAUAGUUGGUGAGGUAAUGGCUCACCAAGUCAAUGAUGCAUAGCUGUGCUGAGAGGCAGAACAGCCACAAUGGGACUGAGACACGGCCCAUACUUCUACGGAAGGCAGCAGUAGGGAAUUUUCCACAAUGGGCGAAAGCCUGAUGGAGCAAUCCCGCGUGAAUGAUGAAGGUCUUAUAUAGAUUGUAAAAUUCUUUUAUUGGAGACGAAUGGUAGGAAAGGAAAUG